AACGAACGCUGGCGGCAUGCCUAACACAUGCAAGUCGAACGAGACCUUCGGGUCUAGUGGCGCACGGGUGCGUAACGCGUGGGAACCUGCCCUUAGGUUCGGAAUAACUCCCCGAAAGGGGUGCUAAUACCGGAUAAUGUCAUCGGACCAAAGAUUUAUCGCGUUUGGAUGGGCCCGCGUUGGAUUAGCUAGUUGGUAGGGUAAAAGCCUACCAAGGCGACGUUCCAUAGCUGGUCUGAGAGGAUGAUCAGCCACACUGGGACUGAGACACGGCCCAGACUCCGACGGAAGGCAGCAGUGGAGAAUAUUGGACAAUGGGCGAAAGCCUGAUCCAGCAAUGCCGCGUGAGUGAUGAAGGCCUUAGGGUUGUAAAGCUCUUUUACCCGGGAUGAUAAUGACGGUACCGGGAGAAUAAGCUCCGGCUAACUCCGUG
Molecule: ribosomal RNA, 433 nt
Filed under: uncultured bacterium
Lineage: Bacteria
Description: partial 16S ribosomal RNA
Rfam family: Bacterial small subunit ribosomal RNA
Source: RNAcentral